AUUGAACGCUGGCGGCAGGCCUAACACAUGCAAGUCGAGCGAGCGGCGGACGGGUGAGUAAUGUAUGGGGACUGCCCGUUGGGGGGGGAUAAUUCCUGGAAACGGUGGCUAUUACGCCAAAUGUCCGGUUAACCCAUAGGGGAUUAGCUAGUAGGUAAGGUAAUGGCUUACCUAGGCGACGAUCCCUAGCUGGUCUGAGAGGAUGAUCAGCCACACUGGGACUGAGACACGGCCCAGACUCCUACGGAGGCAGCAGUGGGGAAUAUUGCACAAUGGGCGCAAGCCUGAUGCAGCCAUGCCGCGUGUAUGAAGAAGGCCCUAGGGUUGUAAAGUACUUUCAGUCGGGAGGCGUUACCGACAGAAGAAGCACCGGCUAACUCCGUGCCAGCAGCCGCGGUAAUUC
This 403-nucleotide ribosomal RNA is filed under the name uncultured bacterium. Its description in RNAcentral is "partial 16S ribosomal RNA". It matches the Rfam family "Bacterial small subunit ribosomal RNA", at positions 30 to 526 of the family's 1533-position model. The record is from RNAcentral.